This 71-nucleotide transfer RNA is filed under the name Camelus bactrianus (Bactrian camel). It matches the Rfam family "tRNA". From Rfam's summary of the family: Transfer RNA (tRNA) molecules are approximately 80 nucleotides in length. Their secondary structure includes four short double-helical elements and three loops (D, anti-codon, and T loops). Lineage: Eukaryota; Metazoa; Chordata; Mammalia; Artiodactyla; Camelidae. The record is from Rfam by way of RNAcentral. RNAcentral also lists the same sequence under 1 other name.
GGGUAUAUAGCUCCAGUGGUAGAGCGCAUGCCUAGUAUGCACUACGUCCUGGGUUCAAUCCCCAGUACCUA